CUCUGGGAGAGUUUAUAGUCCUGAGAGUUGAACACUGGAUGACUGACAGCUGUCCUUCAUGACAACAGAAGACACAGAAAUCCUCCUCAUCAAAAACAUGACUUUGAUCUCCGUCCUCAUCUGGACUCUCCUCUGCUGCUGCUUCACAGAGUCCAGAGGCCAGGUCACAGUGACUCAGUCUGGAGCAGUGAGCUCUGCUCUGGGACGCUCCGUCACCAUCACAUGUAGGACCAGUCAGAAUGUUUAUACUUAUGGGGGCAACCACUAUUUAGCCUGGUACCAACAGAGAGAUGGAGAAACUCCUAAACUGCUCAUUUAUGCUGCUAGCACCCAAGCAUCAGGGAUUCCAGGUCGUUUUACAGGCAGUGGAUCAAACUCUGACUUCACUCUGACCAUCAGUGGAGUCCAGACUGAAGAUGCAGCAGUUUACUACUGUCAGAGUUUUCAUUCUCUCAGUCAGAAUGUGUUCACACUGUGAAAAAGCGUCGUACAAAAACCUCCCUCAGUCAGACUGAACAGAAACUGAACUGACUGCUGCAGCUGGAAGCUACUGCAGAGACUGAUACACUUCACUGAGGACACACACACACACACACACACACACACACACACACACACACACACAUACUACCAGUGAACAUGUAUUAAAACAAGUUCAGUGACAAAAAAUAAUCUUGCAGCAAAUCAAAUAACGUUCUCCCUCAC
This is a non-coding RNA of Dicentrarchus labrax (European seabass), 705 nucleotides long. Lineage: Eukaryota; Metazoa; Chordata; Actinopteri; Moronidae. The record is from the annotation of a RefSeq genome assembly.